AAGUCUAUGUGGCCCUUACCAUCUGCAACCCAGAGACGUGCCAGCUGUUCACCACUGAGCUAUGCCGGGCUGGGAUCAGAUGGGAAGUGGAACCUCGUCAUGACCAGAAACUGUUUCCCUACGAAGAGCACUUGGAGAUGGCAAUGCUGAACCUCACACUGUAGGACUCACAUACGACUCCAACGGGAUUGUGAGAAUCAAGUCACUCUAGUGGGAAGAGUUUUUAUAUGGGAAAGCGGAUAAAACUUUCAUUGGACUGGAAUGUUUGGAGAAUGUUAAUUUCCAAAUCAGGAACCACAAACUGCCCUCUAAUAAGACAUCAGCUAUCUAAGCAUGUGGGUGCUCCCUUUCUGCCAGCAGUUCUGGUUCUUAAGAAAAUCGCCAUCAAUCAGACAUGAAAUCUCUGGCUCCAAAAAUAGCAUUUUCUUUGUGCAAAUAAAAACGUGUGUAUCAAGUAUGAUGUUCCCCCAAUGUGGACACACUCGGUUCCCCACAAAGCCAAGCCCGCUGCAGCUGCCACAUCCCUGGACACAUUCGGUUCCUCACAAAGCCAAGCCCGCUGCAGCUGCCACAUCCGUGGACACACUCGGUUCUUCACAAAGCCAAGCCCACUGCAGCUGCCACAUCCCUGGGCUUACAGUGCAGCAGGUGCUUUUUUCAAGACAGGAAUCAAAAUGUUAGGAACACGGCGGAAAGAUGACACCUGGAGAGCAAACGCAGGAUGAGGAGUACUGCAGAGGUCACACGGAAGUCGCAGAACAGUAAUCCGCUAGCAGGGGCAUGGGGCGUGAAGAACAGAAGAAGAUAGGAAGUGUUUCCGAGCCUCCAGAAAAGAAAUCAGAGCCAAGCACAGCUUCCCGGGUCACAGAACCAAUUCAUUUACCAGGCGGCACCACUGCCGUCAUUUCACCUUCUGGCCACUGGGAGGCGCUGCUCGAAAGGGUUUGCCCUGAGACUCCGAGAAGAAGCUGCGGGAAGGACAGCAGGGGUCCCGGGGUUUUAGCCUCUGGCCCAGGAGUUAUGUGUCCAUAACCAAAUGGAGCACACUCUGCACCCAGCUCUCAUCCCAUCGGAGCUGCUGCGAUUCCCGCAGGUUCUUCCAGAACUGGUUUAGCUUGCCCGCAGGAUCAGGAAAGUUUGAGAAAAGCAUCUGCAAAAAAAUAAAGAGCAGAGCUUAACUCAUUUCCUGUCCCCACCCCAUCCCAGGUCACCACCUGGCUGACCCCAGGUCCCCGACCCAACAACAAACCCUCCCAAGUUCCUAACUCCCUCACUUGGACUCGAGACUCUUCACGCCCCAGCAGCGCUCCGCCUCCAACUUGACAUCACGCUUUCUGUCCCACUUUCCCACACUUCGUGCCCUGGAGCACCUCCCGGCCUCUACACGCUGUAUGUUCCCCUGCGAGCACCCUCCUCUUGGCCUCUGGCCAAGUCCCACCCAUCUGUGGGUAACAAGGGGGUGUUGGUGUUCUUUUCAGCCUUGCUAAACUGUCUGAAUCAAGGAUCACAAACUACAGCCUGCAGGCCAAAUCCAGCCCACAGCCUGUGUUUGUAAAUAAAGUUUUAUUGGAACAAAGCCACACCCCUUAAUCGAAGAUGAUCUGUGGCUACUUUCACACCACAACAGAGUACCAUGGUUCUGACAGAGACUAGGAGACACAGUCUAAAUGACUUCUGACCUGGACCUUUACUGAAAAUCCUGCCAAUCAUUCUGUUGGCAAGAAUGAUGUAUUACUUUUAGCAAUAAGAAACAAGUAACCUUUGCAGAAUUCCACCCAUCUUUCAAGGCUGGUCCCAGAAGUUCCCUUUGCCCAUGCACCUACCUGAUCCUGAUCACUUCCGAAACUGCAGCCCGGCCCACCCGGCUCCAGCAUCAUUUGUGGAGUGUCAGCUCCAUAAAUCCAGAGGGCAGGUGGGGGUGUGUCCUAACUUUCCCGAGCCUACUGUACCGAAACGGGACAGCAGAGUAGGCCAGCCUCUGUGACUUCUGCUCUCUCCCUAGCUUUUCCGCCAGACCCCACAUGGUCCCACCCUGGCUGUGGGAAGCAGGGAUCAGGGAGCAUGGCUCAGUGCCAGUCUCCAGAACCCUCUCCACCCUCGCGUGGUGGCAGAUGUGGCUACCUGCAGCUGAGCUGCCAGUUCCUCUGAGUCCUCAAAGACCAGGCCAUUUUCUUCAUGUUUCACCAGCUCAUGUAAACUGCAGAGAGAACCAAGGGAGCCUGAGAGCUGCCUGGAGAAGACACCAGACCCCUGGGGUGCCCACCUGGGCUUCAGCCUCCCACCCCAUGCUCAAGCCAGGCUGAGAGUUGGAACAGGGGGUGUGUUUUCCGGGGGGUGGUUCUUAGAUUUGGCAUCUGAAGGGUAUAAAGGGGGGUACACAUCUAAAUGGCCAAACCGAUUUGAAGAGGGAGCCUUAAGGGGGGUUUGUACCUUCUGUGCUGGAUGCUCUUCAAGGACUGAAGAAUUAUUUUUGCAUGUUUUUCUUAACUCCAUGGCCAUGGAACAAGUAAAGGGAACACCCGGGGGACUGGCUCAGCACAUAAAAGAUGACUUUUCUAGGGCACCAGGUUUGAUCCCGACAUUCCCUGAGCUCAGCUCACAGGAGGGGCUCACAUCCCUGGAUCCCAUCCAGGAGCCGGCUCCUGAGCAGGGGCCAAGGGCUCAGCUUGUGCUGGGGCUACUGCUUCUAGAAUCUCCUCUAACGCCGCCCUUCCAAACACACGUCUGUGCUGGGUAGAGUGGGGCCACAGCAUGACACUCAUUUAACUGAUUCAAACCCACCACGUGAGCUUGGCCAAAAGGGACAUGGUGGGAGAGAAAGAAACAAAGAAAACCAUGUAAGCCUGCAGGCAAUUC
This 2856-nucleotide long non-coding RNA is filed under the name Homo sapiens (human). RNAcentral describes it as "non-protein coding lnc-ALDH3B2-3:4". The record is from RNAcentral. Lineage: Eukaryota; Metazoa; Chordata; Mammalia; Primates; Hominidae.